ACUGAAAAUCUUCGGAAUUGUAGUCUGGAGAAGUAUGGUCAGCCGAUGAUAAUGGGUGAAGUCUUCUGGAAAGGAGCGCCAAGGAGGGUGAUAGCCCCGUUCAAGCCUAUUAUCAGAAGCGUACGACCUGCUUUCUACGAGUCGUGUUGUUUGGGACUGCAGCACUAAGUGGGUGGUAAAUUCCAUCUAAAGCUAAAUAUUGGUGGGAGACCGAUAGCGAACAAGUACCGUGAGGGAAAGAUGCAAAGAACUUUGAAAAGAGAGUUAAAUAGUACCUGAAAUUGCUGAAAUGGAACCGUUGGGAGGCAGUGUCGGUGGCGGGUACUUGUACUCGUCACAAGCCAGGCUUCYUUUCUGGUGCGGGAAAGGCUGACGGACCAGUUUGGGCCGUCUUUGCCGCCGUGCUGGGGAAGGACUCUGACGAAAUGCCUCUCAACACCCCGUCUUGAAACACGGACCAAGGAGUCUAACAUGUGUGCGAGUGCUCGGGGUCAACCCCCCAGCGCGAAAUAAACGUAAAGGUGAAUUUAUUCACUUAGGUAGGAUCCUUAGGUGCACUAUCGACCGACCAUGAUCCCCCGGGAGAAAGGUUUGAGUGUGAGCAUACAUGUUGGGACCCGAAAGAUGGUGAACUAUGCUUGAGUAGGGCGAAGCCAGGGGAAACUCUGGUGGAGGUCCGCAGCGAUUCU
This 689-nucleotide ribosomal RNA is filed under the name Chrysophyceae sp. RNAcentral's name for it is "eukaryotic LSU rRNA". It matches the Rfam family "Eukaryotic large subunit ribosomal RNA", at positions 113 to 887 of the family's 3401-position model. The record is from RNAcentral. Lineage: Eukaryota; Chrysophyceae.